Molecule: ribosomal RNA, 497 nt
Filed under: uncultured bacterium
Lineage: Bacteria
Description: partial 16S ribosomal RNA
Rfam family: Bacterial small subunit ribosomal RNA
Source: RNAcentral
GAUGAACGCUGGCGGCGUGCCUAAUACAUGCAAGUCGAGCGGACGGACGAGAAGCUUGCUUCUCUGACGUUUGCGGCGGACGGGUGAGUAACACGUGGAUAACCUACCUAUAAGACUGGGAUAACUUCGGGAAACCGGAGCUAAUACCGGAUGAUCUCUUGAACCGCAUUGUUCAAUAGUGAAAGACGGUCUUGCUGUCUCUUCUAGCUGGAUCCGCGCUGCAUUAGCUAGUUGGUAAGGUAACGGCUUACCAAGGCAACGAUGCAUAGGCGACCUGAGAGGGGGAUCGGCCACACGAGAGCGGGGACACGGACCAUGCUCCUACGAGAGGGAGCAGUAGGGAAUGUUCCGCAAUAGUCGAAAGUAUGACGGAGCAGCGCGGCGUGAGUGAUGGAGGUCUUGGGAUCGUAAAGCUCUGUUAUUGGGGAAGAACAUAUGUGGAAGGAACUGUGGACUUCUUGACGGUACCUAAUCAGAAAGCCACGGCUAACUACGUG